Long non-coding RNA from Diorhabda carinulata, 739 nucleotides. RefSeq lists it as uncharacterized. Lineage: Eukaryota; Metazoa; Arthropoda; Insecta; Coleoptera; Chrysomelidae. The transcript is spliced from 2 exons. The record is from RefSeq and is a predicted model, not a curated record.
UGUACAAUAUUCGAAUGAAUUUGUAUAUUAAUAGUUCCUUUCAAAUAGUUAUGACUUUAAAAAAAGAAUUUAAUUUACUAUCCUACUCUAAUACUUUGUGGCGCUCUUUUUAAAAUUCUUCCACUUGCUACUAUAGCGCCACCUUAAUUUGCUUCCUUUCAACAAACACUUUUCGAUACACCGAGAUUGUUCUCUUAACCUCUCCCUCCAUACCACAAACAAAUCACAUUGAGUUUGUGAAAGAAUCCGUCAAUGUCAAAUAUUCAUGGCUGUCACUCACUAACAAAAAUGCGUAUGUGUGCGUUCUCAGAACAUAACCUUUUUUCGCGUGGACCUUUUGUUUGUUAAUUUUACAACUAAAAUUAAAGUAAUUAGAUAUAAAUAUAACAGUGAUAAGUUUAGUGUACACAAGAUGGAAAAUGAUAACACGAAUUACCUUCUCCUCCUACAACGUCAAGAAAGAAAGCCAAAGUAUCGAAGGUACAACAAAAAUAUAGGCACGAAUGGGAAUGCCAAUAUGUCUGGUUAACGAGUGAUAUCUAAGCAAAAUAUGUGCUUUAACAUUUACUAUUUCUCACGCAGGUGUUGGGCAGGUAAAACAGCACUUAACCAUCAAAAAACAGAAAAAAAGACGGAAAUGGGAAAAUCUAGCAUUGUAAAUUAGUAAGUUGUGCGAGAAGCUCUAAAAAAUGUGUAUUUAAAACAAUAAAUAAAUAAAAUAAUGUUAAUUUUUCUAAAA